ACGUGAAUGACCAAAUUGACCAAGAAAACGGCGAUUGUCGCCGAAAAGCGACAAGUUUGCAGCUUUGUCCAAUGUGUCAAAUGUGAAAUGAGAAGAAUCACGCACCACCACUGGAUCCCUGUAAAGAAGAGGACCGUUGACGCCGAGAGACGGACGCCAUUGUUGAAGGCUGGCAGCGCAAGUUUGAAGGUUAUGCAUAAUGCUCCUCAAAGUGGAAUACCAUGGACUUAGAAAGUACCUAAAACUACAGCCUGGAUUUUCAUAUGGAAGUUUCAUUGAAGAAGGUGAGCCUUUAUGUGACCUUGUAGAGCUUGUAGUCGAGAGCGGUAUUGCAGGGGCAUAUACGAGGGACAUUAAGUGCAAACAAUAGCCCAUUUUGUGCAUUGCACUGGUAUCCAGCCAAAAGCUUAAGUAUGAUAUCUACA
Molecule: long non-coding RNA, 425 nt
Organism: Gadus chalcogrammus (walleye pollock)
Lineage: Eukaryota; Metazoa; Chordata; Actinopteri; Gadiformes; Gadidae
Exons: 3
Source: RefSeq, a predicted model, not a curated record